CAGCCAGAACAUUCUAAUUACAUUGAGCAUUUACUGCGAGAACAAGUACGUUACUAGGAAGAUUAUAUUUUUAAUUUCUAUAGAAACAUCGAUAUCCUACAGCAUGUUUGCCAAUGGUCGAGCUUGGGGGCCGCAGGAAUAGGGAUGGAUGCCCUCAGCCCUCAUUCAAAAUUAAAAUUCGUAAAAUUAUUUAUUGUUGAUAGUAUAAUUAUUCUACUCUAAAAUAUGAUGAGUCGAUAAUAAUUUCAGAUUUUUCAUCUUUGCUUCAAACUUUUCUUAUCAUGCCAGCUUGAUUAACUAGCUGUUGGUCCGUAGGAGUCCUGUCUGAUUCAAUGUUCUUUCUUUAGGAUUAACCUUUUUGGCACAGUUAGGUUCUUCUACUUGUCCUUUCAGAAAGUACAACCACAACUCGUUACUAGUUAUCUACCAUGUGCAAAAAAACAUAUCCAAAUUAAAGUGAUAUAAUUCUUUUUGCACUAUGCAUCAAGUGCUUUCGCUUAUAAAUGUUGCAUAUAUCAUGUUACAUGUGAAGUGAUGCAUGCUCCUUCUGUUAGCUGCUUGUAGGGUAGGCUCAAGCCUACCAGAAGCUGCUUGUAGGGUAGGCUCUCGUUACUUGGUGGUGUCGAGCUCGUGUUUGCCUCCGAGGGCUCACUCUAGUUUGUAGCUUGUUGAUCAUUCUAUUAGCUAGUAUACACCUUUAGGGCUUAUUCGGAAUAUAGGAUAGGAAAAACGAAGGAAUAGGAAAAAUAUAGGAAUAUGGUAGGAUUGUAUGCGUAAAACAGAGGAUUGGAAAACAUAGGAAUUUCUUAUUCUCCGUUCGCAGGAUUCUUACAGCAAAGAGGCUAGAGUGGAUUCUUUUUUUCCUGUGAAAACAUGGGUAGGGAAUAGUAUUCCUAUGGAAUUCAAGAUAGCUAACCCUUUCAAACGAAUGCAUCUACCGUACCCAGUUCAAAGGAAUCAUCAAUCCUCCAUUUUUCCUUUACAUUUCCUCCAUUCCGAAUGAGCCCUUAGACUUGGAAGGCACUGGGAAUACGACUAGCACUAUUGAGUACAGGUAAGGGGGCUUUCAAAGCCCAUCUCCUUCUGCCCGCCAUCCUCACCCUCGCCCUUGGGCCGGUUCAUCAAGUUAGCUGGGAGUUAAGACGAGGAAGAGCAGAGAUUAUGGUAUCCAGUGAUCUCCGUGACUCCGUGUGCUUUGUUAAAAUUAAUGGAGACCAUCAGCGGAUGAUGAGCGUAUACUACUACGUGCCGAUGUCAUUUUAGUGCUACUACUACGUACCUUACUACAAUUCCGGCCAGUAAAGAUGCAUUUUGGUGCUACUACCUACCGAUGAAUGAAACCAUUCAAAGAUGUAGUGGUGCUCUUGAGACGUACAUCGGCACAAAACUAAAAGGAAGGUGUCGGAAAAAACGAAAAGUAAAUUAUAUGUGAAAAACACUUUAAGCUGGCUGUACGAUCUCGCAUAGAGUUUUUGAGAGCCCGUGUUCUGUAUGCCAUGGGAAUAGAAGAAAGGAAGGACUUGGUAGAAAACUAUUAUUAACUAGAUAAAUACAUCGUCGUGUGUUGCUACAAGAAAUUAAGUUGUAUAAUAUGUAUAAAUAAUGUGCAAUAUAUUUUAUAAAACCAAAAACAAUAUGGAUUCCUAUGUUUUACGUAAUUUGUACAUGGUUGUAAAUAUAGUUGUUAACGCCAAAAUUUGAUAAUCCCGAAGUUAUCAUCGGCAAAGCAAACAUAUUUUAUUUGACCAAUACUUGUGAAUUUUGAGCCUAAAAAACUAUUCAAAUUGCACAGUUUUAUGAGAGAAGAAAGAGAUAAUUUGUGCCAUAUAUAUAUCUCUAUUAUCCGAAGGGUAAAAAUAAUUGUGGUGAUGUGACUUCAUGAGAAAAGAUCGAGAAAUAAUAUUUUCUACACUUAGUGAGGAUUGUAUAUAUAGGUUGUUUGCUAAUUAAGAAUGAACUUUAGUUAGAUCUGGUUCAUGUCACUCCCUACAUAGUAAUAUUUCAGUCUGCCAAUGAACACAAUGCUGCAUAUUGGUCUACCGUGAGUUCACUUGUCGGUGUUAAUUUUUUAUUUUCCAAGUAUUGAACACAGCACCGUCACCAAGUAUACUUAUGACUUGUUCGGCAUAGCUCCAACUCUGUUUUUUUUUCCUGAACUACCUAGCUUCAAUUUUUCUUUUGCAGAUAGAGUUGCUGCUGCAUAUAUAUAUAUAUAUAACAGUUAUCAGGGUGAUAUUUUACACCAAAGUAAAAAUGAUUAAGCCACAUUAAUUUAAUGUAUAAACUCUAUUUUCUAGAAGAAUUUAAGAGUUAGAACCAUAUUAAACAGACCUAAUAUGAACUACCAAUCGGGGGCCAUAUCACCAUUCAUAUCAUUACUCUGCCCAUUCAUAUAUGUAAACACGGAAAUCCAAUUUCAAUAGUUGAAGAGAUUUGUACCUUGCAGUUAAGAGUGAUCA
Oryza sativa Japonica Group (Japanese rice) is the source of this 2459-nucleotide non-coding RNA. NCBI's taxonomy places the organism in Eukaryota, Viridiplantae, Streptophyta, Magnoliopsida, Poales, Poaceae. The record is from RefSeq and is a predicted model, not a curated record.